CCCAGACUCCUACGGGAGGCAGCAGUGGGGGAUAUUGCACAAUGGGGGGAACCCUGAUGCAGCGACGCCGCGUGGGUGAAGGAGCGUUUCGGCGCGUAAAGCCCUAUCGGCAGGGAAGAAGGAGGACGGUACCUGACUAAGAAGCCCCGGCUAACUACGUGCCAGCAGCCGCGGUAAUACGUAGGGGGCAAGCGUUAUCCGGAUUUACUGGGUGUAAAGGGGGCGCAGACGGCAGCGCAAGCCAGGAGUGAAAGCCCGGGGCCCAACCCCGGGACUGCUCUUGGAACUGCGCGGCUGGAGUGCAGGAGGGGCAGGCGGAAUUCCUGGUGUAGCGGUGAAAUGCGUAGAUAUCAGGAGGAACACCGGUGGCGAAGGCGGCCUGCUGGACCGUGACUGACGUUGAGGCUCGAAAGCGUGGGGAGCAAACAGGAUUAGAUACCCCCGUAAC
This 448-nucleotide ribosomal RNA is filed under the name uncultured bacterium. RNAcentral's name for it is "bacterial SSU rRNA". It matches the Rfam family "Bacterial small subunit ribosomal RNA", at positions 330 to 794 of the family's 1533-position model. The record is from RNAcentral.